CAGGAGGGGGUGGAUCCAUGUCUGGGGGUGGUGGAUCCAUGUCUGGAGGAGGAAAAGGCUCAGGAUAUGGAGGAGGAGGAAGCUCUGGUGGCUCCAUCUGUGGAGGAGGAAGUUCAGGUGGAGGAUCCAUGUCUGGGGGAGGAAAAGGCUCAGGAUACGGAGGAGGAGGAAGCUCUGGUGGCUCCAUUUGUGGAG
Molecule: long non-coding RNA, 195 nt
Organism: Neopelma chrysocephalum (saffron-crested tyrant-manakin)
Lineage: Eukaryota; Metazoa; Chordata; Aves; Passeriformes; Pipridae
Exons: 3
Source: RefSeq, a predicted model, not a curated record